Molecule: long non-coding RNA, 754 nt
Organism: Canis lupus familiaris (dog)
Lineage: Eukaryota; Metazoa; Chordata; Mammalia; Carnivora; Canidae
Exons: 4
Source: RefSeq, a predicted model, not a curated record
CCUGAACCUCUUGGAACCACCAUAUCAUUAAAAAAGCCAGAAUGAAAGACCAUGUGGAGAAAGUGAGACCCACUGUCCCAGUGGAGCCCAGCCCCAAGUCAACCUGCCAGCUGACUGCUAUGCCAUGAAUUAGCCCAGAUGUUGAGUCCAUUCGACCUGGUGGGAAGAGGAUUAACAUCACCCCAAAAGGAAGCUUUUGGUGAAAGCUUCAUCUCUUCAGAAAGGACUUGAACUCACAACCACAAGAUCAAGAGUUGCAUGCUGUACUGACUGCUAACUGAGCCAGCCAGGUACCACAAGGACUGCAACACUUUAAACUCUCCGGAACAGUAUACAUCCAUACUUAUUUCCUCAAUCCUUCAUCAACUAUCAAGAAACUGAGGCUUGAAGAAGUUUUUCAUUUUUUCAAAUCACACCGUUGGUAUGCACAGAAUUGGAAUUACAAUCAUGGUCUGUAUUUUAAAUUUGUGCUCUUAACUAUGACCCUGUAGAGAAGAAAUUCAAACUACUAGCAACAUCCAGCACCUUCACAAAUGAUGAUCCCAAAGAGAAACCAUGGAAUUGAAUCUUUUGAGUGCCAUGAUUUCCAUCUGUAUUUCAAAGAGCACUAUGAAAUAAGUCAUCCUCACUAAUCAUUCUGGCAAUCCAUUAUUUCAGCCAUUGUGACAAAGCAGCAACUGACUGGUGGUAUAUAUUUAUUUUGAAAUUAAUCAAAGUGAUAAGCCUAGUGCUUCUGAAAGUCAUUUCAAAGGAA